CCUACGGGGGCAGCAGUGGGGAAUAUUGGACAAUGGGCGAAAGCCUGAUCCAGCCAUGCCGCGUGUGUGAAGAAGGCCUUCGGGUUGUAAAGCACUUUCAGUGGGGAAGAAAGCCUUGGGGCUAAUACCCUCGAGGAAGGACAUCACCCACAGAAGAAGCACUGGCUAACUCCGUGCCAGCAGCCGCGGUAAUACGGAGGGUGCGAGCGUUAAUCGGAAUUACUGGGCGUAAAGCGCGCGUAGGCGGUCUGAUAAGCCGGUUGUGAAAGCCCCGGGCUCAACCUGGGAACGGCAUCCGGAACUGUCAGGCUAGAGUGCAGGAGAGGAAGGUAGAAUUCCCGGUGUAGCGGUGAAAUGCGUAGAGAUCGGGAGGAAUACCAGUGGCGAAGGCGGCCUUCUGGACUGACACUGACGCUGAGGUGCGAAAGCGUGGGUAGCAAACAGGAUUAGAUACCCUUGUAGUC
Molecule: ribosomal RNA, 464 nt
Filed under: Vreelandella stevensii
Lineage: Bacteria; Pseudomonadati; Pseudomonadota; Gammaproteobacteria; Oceanospirillales; Halomonadaceae
Description: partial 16S ribosomal RNA
Rfam family: Bacterial small subunit ribosomal RNA
Source: RNAcentral